UUGGAGGGCAAGUCUGGUGCCAGCAGCCGCGGUAAUUCCAGCUCCAAUAGCGUAUAUUAAAGUUGUUGUGGUUAAAAAAGCUCGUAGUUGAACCUUGGGCCUGGCUGGCCGGUCCGCCUCACCGCGUGUACUGGUCCGGCCGGGCCUUUCCCUCUGUGGAACCCCAUGCCCUUCACUGGGUGUGGCGGGGAAACAGGACUUUUACUUUGAAAAAAUUAGAGUGCUCCAGGCAGGCCUAUGCUCGAAUACAUUAGCAUGGAAUAAUAGAAUAGGACGUGUUGG
RNAcentral lists this ribosomal RNA (282 nucleotides) under uncultured Ascomycota. Its description in RNAcentral is "partial 18S ribosomal RNA". It matches the Rfam family "Eukaryotic small subunit ribosomal RNA", at positions 548 to 835 of the family's 1831-position model. Lineage: Eukaryota; Fungi; Ascomycota. The record is from RNAcentral.